UUUAAAAAGAUUAUUUUAUUUUUCUCUUCUCUAUACAUGUAAGAAUGAGAGCAUGUAUGUUUUUCUUUUCCUUGCCUUCUAGAUAUCUUUCUGAAGUCUCAAAGAUGUAGCCCUAAACUCUUCUCCAAGGCUUUUAAAGGAUUUGUUUCCUAAUAAUGACAUCUUUUCUUUAAAGUGAAUGUCAUAAACCCUUAAUUCCCUUCCAUACAUGGGAAUUCAUCACUGUAUUUCAAGAAUUCCCCAAAACCAAAAAUAUCAAUCUCACAAAUCAAUCUCCAUCUGACCUAUUCUCCACAGUCAAAUCCAAAUUCCUCCCUUAAAAGUUCUGCAUUCCUCUGAAGCUAAAUGAUACAAAAAAUGUCAAAAACACCCUUGCAUUUGAAUCACCCCAGUCUCUCUCUGCUCCUAUGGGCUGAUUCAGCAGACUGGCUUCUGGUGGAGGGCACUGGUUUCCCGGGCUAGUUUCUGGACUAUUUAAAACAGAUGGAGGCAUCUUCAAGGCGGCCCUGUCAAAGGCCAAGGACAUUUUUUUCGGCAUAGACUCUGAGCUUGUUGCCACAUAAACAAACAGAAGGAUUUCACUUUAGCUUCCCCAUGUUUUUGGAUUAAUGACAAAUGCUAAGAGGGGUACGGAAGCCAGUAAGGCAGGCCAGGGCAGCUAGAAGCCCAGAAAGAAGCUGGGAGUUGCUGGCUCUGGCUGCACACUCAGGGUGAGGCCGUGAGCAAGCCUCUACUGUGAACGAACGUCUGGAAAACCUCUCAGCUGGACAGUCCACCCGCAGACCCAGAGGCUGGAUAAGAAGCUAGAGGCAAAAGAAGAAUCAACCCUUCCUAUCCCUCCAAAAGAUGCAGUUGUGUCGUUCCUGAUGAGUACAGCUUUCUCGAAAAUGGAAAAUCUGGAAGUAACCAUGACUACACAUGUUUUAAAUGUAUUCAAGCGAUUUUGUAUUUUAAUUUUUCACAAUAAAUUUUAUUAAUUUUUCUUGUUUGAUUAAUCUUGAUUAGUUUGAUUUCUUGUUUGAUUAGUCCUAUCAAAUAUUAGUCUAUAUUUUAUUUAUGUUUUUAUCUUUUACUGCAAAAUGAGCUGUGUGGCAAAAUUGCUCUCAGCAAAUUGCUUGCAGCAAAGAUGUUUAGGAGAAAAUCCCAGACAAGGCCCUAAGAAAGACACAUUUGCUGCUGCCAUUCAGCCCAAGCCUUCCAGACUGCAAUGAUGAUACUUAUGACUAAAUGACAGAAACUUUUUAAUUCUUUGCACCAAAAGGCCAGCACCUCUUCUGCCACACUUUCUGAAGGAUGGAUUUUGAAUUCUGUUUCUUUACAUGGAUCAACUACAAAUCAAAGACAUCUAUGGAUGUAUCUGAUUGUUCUUCCUUAUGUUGUUUCAACACAGUUCAUAGUCUUAUUCCAUGUGUUAGAAUAUAUUGACUGUUUCCAUUUUAAUGUUCAAAAUUAUCCAAAUUUGGUCAGCAAAAAGCCCCUUCAGGCAGGUCUGUGUUAUUUUGACAUGGGCACCUUAGAUUUGGAGCAUUCCCUUAAUUUAUGGCACAACAAGAAAUUUCAAGAACACCUAAAGCUUUUAUUGCCCCACAGCUAUAAUCAGCAUUUCUCCAAGAUUUACUAGUUCCUUUUAGAGAAAAAUAAAAUGGUGUUUAGAUGGCAGGAUCUAGACACUAGCAUAUUCAUUUCUUUAUUAGUGCCUCUAGUCCCUUGAAGUUGACAAAGCUAUGAAAUAUUUAUAUCUAUAUCUAUAUAUCUUGAUACCUUUAAUUCAAUCCAACAUUAUAGAAUUUUUCUUUUCCUAUUCUCAUUCCAUUAUUUUCUGUUUCUUCCCCCUCACUCUUUUGAUGCUUCAGCAUAGGCAGAAUUACUUACUUUCUCCAAAGAGGCAUAUCACAGCUCAGGGUUGGGUGGAGGAAUUACACUUCUGAUACCAUCAUCCCUGGUUGGGUGAUCAUCUCAGGCUUGCGCCCUCAAAGCCAAUCUUGACCCCUUAAUCAGGGUCCUCCACCUAUACUCGUUCUUAAGCUUCUCUUGAUUUAGUCAUUACAUCCAAUGUUUCCUGAUUCUGAUCCUUAUUUCCUCUUGGCUGGACCAUGUUAAUAGAGUCCCAUCUUGUAUUCUUAUCCACAUUGCCUUCAAUCGUAUCCACAUUCUAAGAUACAACUGCCAUGCAUUCCAUAGGCAAGUUGAUUUCAAGUCAGAAAAUACUCACUUUUCCAAAAGACUCAUGUUCACACUAAGUUUAGCGUUAAAUGUUUUUCUAGUCUAUUCCCACCCAGCUCCUUUUAGUACAUUCUAUGUGUCAGCUAAAAUUAAUGUCUUGCUUCUUAAGCAUUCUUUCUAUUUUCCUUGAGUUUAUCUUCUGUCUAGAUUUGUGCCAUAUAAUUUUUAAAAGUAUAAUUUCCCAUUCUAUUAUGCUAUUGCUCAGAAACUUUCCUUGACUUCUUAUAGCCUGACAAAACCAUGUAUCUGUGGAAGUCAUAUUCACCCUUAAGUUUCACUUCAAAUGCAAUUCUCUCCCAUCCACACCUACAGUCUUUACUGAAACCCAACUUGUAACUCACUAUGAACUGUAUUGAAUGCCUUUAGCAUUUCUUUAGCAUCAAAUUCAUAUGGUUCAAUAUUAAACUCACUUAUUAUGUCAUUUAGAAUUAGGCUUGCCAAAAUAUAACAUUGGAUUAAAAUGUUGAAGUUUGUUUUUCUCUCAUUAACAAUUCAAUGGGCAGUGCAGGGCUAGGAAUAGCUGCUUAUACCCUCAGAGACAUCACAAAUUCAUGCUACUUCCUUGUAGAACUCUCAUUCUUUUGUUAUAAGAUGGCAGCUAUAGAUUCAGUCCUUAUACAUGAAUUCUAGGUAACAGGAUGGAGGAAUAUGCAACAAAAUGAGGGAAAAGUAAUGCAUUUGAGAUAUAUUUUUUAAAUAAAUUCUGCAGAGGUAUUAUAUUCACACAAGAAAAUAUGCACAUUCUAAAUUAGAUAAAUUUUAACAAACACUGAUCAAUAACACAAUCAAGAUUUCUGUCAACCAGAAAGUUCCCUGUUACUCUUUUGCACUCAAUCAACCCAGCCUUGGCUCAUAUUAACAGACUAAGAGAAAAAAAAGUAAGAUAAUCUCGAUUUACAUUAAAAACUAUUUGAUAAAAUUCAAUAUCCUUUUCAAUAAAAUUCUUAUCAAAUUAGGAAGAGAAGGGAACUUCCUUAUCCUGAUAAAGGGCAUCUGUGAAAAACCUAUAGCUAGCACUAUAUUUUAUAAGACUGUAUUCUUUCCCGUUACGGUCAGGAAAAAUGUAGGGAUGUUCACUAUCACCACUUUUAUUCAACAAUGCAAUAAAGAAAGAAAAAAUAAAUGAAAAGCAAACAUAGUGGAAAGUAAGAAAUGGCCUUUAUUUGCAGAAAACAUGAUCAUUUUAUAGAAAUCACUGGAAUUUAUUUUAAAAGCUUUUUGGAUGAAUAAUUGAGUUUAGAAGUUAAGAUAAAGGUCAAUAUACAGAAAUAAAUUGUAUUUCUACAAACUGUAUAUUGUUUUGUCAUUAUUUACUCAGAAAACUUUUAUGCUCCUUUCCUUCUACUCUUUUUUUGGGGGGGGAUUAUAUAUGUUAGAUGUUUGAUGUUGUCCCUCAGAUUACUGAGUCUCUUUAGUUUUUUCUUCUUUUUUUCUCUCAAUGCUUCAAUUUAGACAAUUUCUAUUGCUGUAUCUUAAGACCAAAAAAAAAAAAAAAAAAAAGAACCUCCAUAUGCCAUGGGAGUAGCCCAAGAAAAGGCAAAAACACCAAAAAGAAGGAAACUCUAUUGCUGUAUCUUCAUGUUCACUGAUCUUUUCCUCUGAGGCAUUAAUCUGCUAUUAAUUCUAUUAAGUGAAUUUUUAUUUCAGAUGCUCUAUUUUUCAUCUCUAGAAAUACUUUUUAUUAUUGACUUAUUUUUUUAUUAUGAUCAUGUCAUUCUUUAAGAAAUAUUGAUCAUAGGUAUAAUAGCUUAUUUAAAAUUAUUAUUUUUCAAUUUCAUCAUCUAUGUCAUUUCUGGUUCUAUUUUCUCCUAUUUUGGGAUAAAAAUUUGUUUGUAGAAAGUUUUUUUUACAAUAUUGAGUGUUUCAUAUAUUUUCUUCCUUUAAAGAGUGUUAAAGUAUUCUUGUUAGGCAAAGCUUGAAUUUUAAAGCUUGUUUUUAAGCUUUCUGGGAGUUGGUUUAGAGUGCUCUUUACUCUCAGACUAAUUUGGCCAUAUUACCAAACCAUGACCCUCUGGGUUCUCUUAUUGAGUUCCCUGAGGGUUAAAUGAGGUUUCUCUGCUCAAGCUGGAAAGAGUUUGAAUAUUUUUCUUGUUCAAGCUCAAGGAGUUUUUCAGCUUAUGGCUCCCAGUAAUUAUUUUCCCAGCAACUGCUUUUUUUUGGAGAUUCACUGUAUAGUUUAAUGGGACCUUUAUGCAUGUUUCUCUGCACAGAUGAUUCCUCUCCAAUAUUCUGUCCUACAGAUUCUGGUUGCCUCUCAGCCUCACCCAAAUCCAUUAUUUGUCUUUUAAGCUCAGUAAGCUUUCAUGUGCUCUGCUUGGGGUCUUCCCUCUGGGCCAUCUUUUACAAGGAGAAAACAGGCUAAUAGCAGGCUUUUCCUUUUCUCAUAAUCACAGUCUUAUUGUCUCAAUGUCUGAAAGAGUUGUUUAAUAUAUUUUAUUUUGUUUUGCAGUUGCUUAUGGUAAGUAGACUGGUCCUGUACCAGUCAGAGGCAUAAAGCAACUAAAAUGUAUUUUAAAGAAAGUUAUUUCUCUUCUUUUUACCACUCAGAACUCCUUACCUACAAAAGGGACUAGAAAAAUAGCUUUUUUUCCUGAGUGGUUAUAUGCUUAGCAAAAAAAUCAGAUUUUGAGAAAGAGAGAGUAUGGAGUUCCCAUGGUGGCUCAGUAGAA
Molecule: non-coding RNA, 4892 nt
Organism: Sus scrofa (pig)
Lineage: Eukaryota; Metazoa; Chordata; Mammalia; Artiodactyla; Suidae
Source: RefSeq, a predicted model, not a curated record